AACCCCGGGAAACUGGGGCCAAUCCCCCAUAGGAGAAGGGUGCUGGAAAGCCCCUUCUCCGAAAGGGACUGCGGCCGAUCCGCCGCAGUCUGCCCGAGGAUGGGGGCACGGCCCAUCAUGGUAGUUGGCGGGGUAAUGGCCCGCCAAGCCGAAGACGGGUGGGGGCCGUGAGAGCGGGAGCCCCGAGAUGGGCACUGAGACAAGGGCCCAGGCCCUACGGGGUGCAGCAGGCGCGAAAACUCCGCAAUGCGGGAAACCGUGACGGGGCCACCCCGAGUGCCGCCCGAAGAGGGCGGCUUUUGCCCGGUGCAAAAAGCCGGGCGAAUAAGCGGGGGGCAAGUCUGGUGUCAGCCGCCGCGGUAAUACCAGCUCCGCGAGUGGUCGGGGUGCUUACUGGGCCUAAAGCGCCCGUAGCCGGCCCGGUAAGUCGUCCCUGAAAUCCACGGCUCAACCCGUGGGCUGGGGACGAUACUGCCGGGCUUGGGGGCGGGAGAGGCCGAGGGUACUCCCGGGGUAGGGGCGAAAUCCGAUAAUCCCGGGAGGACCACCAGUGGCGAAGGCGCUCGGCUGGAACGCGCCCGACGGUGAGGGGCGAAAGCUGGGGGAGCAAAGGGGAUUAGAUACCCCUGUAGUCCCAGCUGUAAACGAUGCGGGCUAGCUGUUGGGCGGGCUUAGAGCCCGCCCAGUGGCGGAGGGAAGCCGUUAAGCCCGCCGCCUGGGGAGUACGGCCGCAAGGCUGAAACUUAAAGGAAUUGGCGGGGGGGCACACAAGGGGUGGAGCCUG
This 784-nucleotide ribosomal RNA is filed under the name uncultured archaeon. RNAcentral describes it as "bacterial SSU rRNA". It matches the Rfam family "Archaeal small subunit ribosomal RNA", at positions 128 to 897 of the family's 1478-position model. The record is from RNAcentral.